ACAGCCUGAAAACCGCGAGGCUCACACCGUACGGGGUGCAUCAUGCAUCUACAUCCGUGAGCGGGUUAAGGUCUGAGCAUUCUAAUCCCCCUCGCUCGGCUCUAGCAGGGCCUGGUCUUAACAGACUAAGCGGCGUACCAGAAAUUCGUCCUACCAUCUCACCCGAAGACGUCCUAGCCUUGUGCUGGUGAUAGAGGGGACGGGGUUGCUGGGCUUGAGAUGCGCCGUGGGGACCGGGUGGGUGUGUCCUGUAUGCCGGCUUCGUGCUUUGGUGUUAUUGUCACCCUGUCCUUUAGUGCACUUCGCGGUUCGCAGUUCGUAGGUCUCUCUGUGACCGUGCGGAACUCGAUUCAGACUACUCUUGGGCUGU
RNAcentral lists this RNase P RNA (370 nucleotides) under Hermanssonia centrifuga. Its description in RNAcentral is "Phlebia centrifuga Nuclear RNase P". It matches the Rfam family "Nuclear RNase P". Rfam says of the family: Ribonuclease P (RNase P) is a ubiquitous endoribonuclease, found in archaea, bacteria and eukarya as well as chloroplasts and mitochondria. Its best characterised activity is the generation of mature 5'-ends of tRNAs by cleaving the 5'-leader elements of precursor-tRNAs. Cellular RNase Ps are ribonucleoproteins. The record is from Rfam by way of RNAcentral. Lineage: Eukaryota; Fungi; Basidiomycota; Agaricomycetes; Polyporales; Meruliaceae.